This 461-nucleotide ribosomal RNA is filed under the name uncultured bacterium. RNAcentral describes it as "partial 16S ribosomal RNA". It matches the Rfam family "Bacterial small subunit ribosomal RNA", at positions 339 to 795 of the family's 1533-position model. The record is from RNAcentral.
CUACGGGUUGCUCCAGUCGAGAAUCUUCCGCAAUGGACGAGAGUCUGACGGAGCGACGCCGCGUGCGGGAUGAAGGCCUUCGGGUUGUAAACCGCUGUCAGUGGGGAGGAAAUGCAUCAGGGUUCUCCCUGGUGUUUGACCGAUCCGCAGAGGAAGCGCAGGCUAAGUUCGUGCCAGCAGCCGCGGUAACACGAACUGCGCGAACGUUAUUCGGAAUCACUGGGCUUAAAGAGUUCGUAGGCGGCCUUUCAAGUCGGGUGUGAAAUCCCUCGGCUCAACCGAGGAAUUGCGCCUGAUACUGUUGGGCUUGAGGGGGAUAGGGGUGAGCGGAACUGAUGGUGGAGCGGUGAAAUGCAUUGAUAUCAUCAGGAACACCGGUGGCGAAGGCGGCUCACUGGAUCUCUUCUGACGCUGAGGAACGAAAGCUAGGGGAGCGAACGGGAUUAGAUACCCGCGUAGUC